UAGGGAAUCUUCGGCAAUGGACGCAAGUCUGACCGAGCAACGCCGCGUGAGUGAAGAAGGUUUUCGGAUCGUAAAACUCUGUUGUUAGAGAAGAACAAGGACGUUAGUAACUGAACGUCCCCUGACGGUAUCUAACCAGAAAGCCACGGCUAACUACGUGCCAGCAGCCGCGGUAAUACGUAGGUGGCAAGCGUUGUCCGGAUUUAUUGGGCGUAAAGCGAGCGCAGGCGGUUUCUUAAGUCUGAUGUGAAAGCCCCCGGCUCAACCGGGGAGGGUCAUUGGAAACUGGGAGGCGUGAGUGCAGGAGAGGAGGGUGGAAUUCCAUGUGUGGCGGUGAAAUGCGUAGAUAUAUGGAGGAACACCAGUGGCGAAGGCGGCUCUCUGGUCUGUAACUGACGCUGGGGCUCGAAAGCGUGGGGAGCAAACAGG
RNAcentral lists this ribosomal RNA (429 nucleotides) under Gemmatimonadota bacterium. RNAcentral's name for it is "Gemmatimonadetes bacterium partial 16S ribosomal RNA". It matches the Rfam family "Bacterial small subunit ribosomal RNA", at positions 355 to 776 of the family's 1533-position model. Lineage: Bacteria; Pseudomonadati; Gemmatimonadota. The record is from RNAcentral.